UAGAGUUGCAUUAACUGUUAAUUGCUGACCUAACGGGUUGGGUUAGGUGCCAUCACGACCUAUGGAUUUUUGGUCGUGAUAUUUCUGGCCUGCCCUGUCCAAGCACGGAGUUGGAUCACGUGGCCCAUGAAAAAGCAUGGGCUGUUGGACUCCUAAAGUGGGGUGGACCGCAUGAGGAUGGUUCCACAAAGCAACGAAUAGCUCCCGCUCUGUAUAGUGGAAGUAUAACGGGUCGGUGUCCUUCAAGUCCAACAAAUGCAUGAUGGGCUGCUCCAAUUAAACCACUACUUUU
Molecule: signal recognition particle RNA, 292 nt
Filed under: Nicotiana attenuata
Lineage: Eukaryota; Viridiplantae; Streptophyta; Magnoliopsida; Solanales; Solanaceae
Description: SRP RNA Plant_SRP
Rfam family: Plant signal recognition particle RNA (bases 31-292)
Source: Rfam by way of RNAcentral